RNAcentral lists this long non-coding RNA (941 nucleotides) under Anas platyrhynchos platyrhynchos (common mallard). Its description in RNAcentral is "lncRNA (ENSAPLG00000021127.1)". The record is from RNAcentral. Lineage: Eukaryota; Metazoa; Chordata; Aves; Anseriformes; Anatidae.
GGGGCUGCUGGGGCUGGGGGCCGCCGCCCCCCCCGCCGCCCGCGCCGCCCCCCUGGGCCCCGCCGGGCUCCUGCUGGCCCUGCUGGGGCUGCAGGCGGGCGCCCUGCGAGCCGCCCUGCCGGGGGCGCGCCCCACGCUCUGCCUCCCGCAGCCCCCCGGGGGCCAGCUCCAGCCCUGCCCCUCUCCGCGCCGGGGGGACAACGGCAGCGCCGCCCCGCUCCUCCCCGCCGUGCCGGGGCCCAGCGCCCGCCUGCUGGCCCGCAACCUGUGGCCCCCCGACCCACCCCUCGGUGACGCCGCCGCCACCUUCGGGCUCCUGCUGGGGCUCAGCCUCCCCACGGCCUCCGGUGGGUCCGGCGGCCCUACAAGCGCCCCCUCCCCGGCCCUAUAAGCUUUAUAGGGUGGAUGUGACCCGAAAUGUGUCCCCGCAGGGGUGCUGUGGGGCUGCAGCCACGCCGGGGAGCUGCGCGACGCCGCCCGUUCCAUCCCCGCCGGCAGCAUCGGGGCCGCCGUGGGCAGCGCCUUGGGGUGCAUCCGGGACCCUAAAUGGGGAAAAGGGACCCUAAAAUGUGGAAAGGGGAGCCUAAAAUGGGGAAAAGGGGGGCCUAAAGGGGAAAAGGGGGCCCUAAAAUGGGGUUGGGGUGCCCUAAAAUGGGGGUGUUGGGGAUAAAAUGGGGGAAGGGGGCCCUGAAAUGGGGAUGGGGGCCCUAAAAUGGGAAAAAGGGACCCUAAAACAUAGAAAAGGGACCCUAAAGGGGAAAAGGGGACCCUAAAAUGGGGGUGAGGGGGGAUAAAAUGGGGGAAGGGGACUCCAAAACGUGGGAAGGGGACUCAAAAAUGUGGGAAGGGACCCCAAAAUGUGGGGGGAGGGCCCUAAAACGCUGGGGGGGACCCCGAGCUGCUUUUGUGGGGUGGGUUUUUGGGGCCGGGCGCCCGUUUUU